CAACUUCCACCUGGCUUACCUCCUCAGUUAUGCGUCAUGACUUGUAUCGUCUUGAGCGUAUUGUGGGUUUCCUGUGUUGCAUACCUAAUGAAUGGUAUCAUUUUGAUUGAUCGAAGUCCCUUUUCAUCAUGUGUUGCGUUUGCGACGCAUGAUGAACCUAGAAGCGGUCUUUAUGUUCCACCAUGUUGAUGCUAGUGUGUCGAUGUUGUGGCCCAUUGAGUGUUGCUUGGUAUCCUGAAUGCAGAACAUUAUUUGGGCAUAGGGUCACACRUGACUCUUGUUUUGUCCUUUCUCGGUGUUCUUUAUAACGACAGUUCAUGCGCGCCUAGGCUCGUACCUGCGCGAUGUUCUUUGUCGAAGAUGAAUGCUACCUGGUUGAUCCUGCCAGUAGUCAUAUGCUUGUCUCAAAGAUUAAGCCAUGCAUG
RNAcentral lists this unclassified non-coding RNA (425 nucleotides) under Lachanodes arborea. RNAcentral's name for it is "partial contains external transcribed spacer and 18S ribosomal RNA". The stretch from base 369 to 425 matches the Rfam family "Eukaryotic small subunit ribosomal RNA", at positions 1 to 57 of the family's 1831-position model. Lineage: Eukaryota; Viridiplantae; Streptophyta; Magnoliopsida; Asterales; Asteraceae. The record is from RNAcentral.